RNAcentral lists this long non-coding RNA (216 nucleotides) under Elaeis guineensis (African oil palm). Its description in RNAcentral is "long non-coding RNA (EGUI_LNC011543)". Lineage: Eukaryota; Viridiplantae; Streptophyta; Magnoliopsida; Arecales; Arecaceae. The record is from RNAcentral.
ACGUGAGUUUGUGUGUGAUAUGAAAUUUCGCACAGGACUCUCUGAAAUUUUGAUUGUCAAAUUAUCGACCAUUGUCGGUGAUGAUGGUGUGUAGUAAAUCGAAUCUGUAAAUGAUGGAUUUCUGAAUGAAGUCUUCCAUUUUGUUUUCAGUGAUUUGGGCCAGUGGUUUGGCUUCUAUCCAUUUGGUGAAGUAGUCAAUAGCAAUCACUAUAAAUU